This 268-nucleotide ribosomal RNA is filed under the name Escherichia coli. Its description in RNAcentral is "partial 16S ribosomal RNA". It matches the Rfam family "Bacterial small subunit ribosomal RNA", at positions 1 to 265 of the family's 1533-position model. RNAcentral also lists the same sequence under 2 other names. The record is from RNAcentral. Lineage: Bacteria; Pseudomonadati; Pseudomonadota; Gammaproteobacteria; Enterobacterales; Enterobacteriaceae.
AAAUUGAAGAGUUUGAUCAUGGCUCAGAUUGAACGCUGGCGGCAGGCCUAACACAUGCAAGUCGAACGGUAACAGGAAACAGCUUGCUGUUUCGCUGACGAGUGGCGGACGGGUGAGUAAUGUCUGGGAAACUGCCUGAUGGAGGGGGAUAACUACUGGAAACGGUAGCUAAUACCGCAUAAUGUCGCAAGACUAAAGAGGGGGACCUUCGGGCCUCUUGCCAUCGGAUGUGCCCAGAUGGGAUUAGCUAGUAGGUGGGGUAACGGCU